ACAGCAGUCGCCGCGGUAAUACGUAGGGUGCAAGCGUUAAUUGGAAUUACUGGGCGUAAAGCGUGCGCAGGCGGUUAUAUAAGACAGAUGUGAAAUCCCCGGGCUCAACCUGGGAACUGCAUUUGUGACUGUAUAGCUAGAGUACGGCAGAGGGGGAUGGAAUUCCGCGUGUAGCAGUGAAAUGCGUAGAUAUGCGGAGGAACACCGAUGGCGAAGGCAAUCCCCUGGGCCUGUACUGACGCUCAUGCACGAAAGCGUGGGGAGCAAACAGGAUUAGAUACCCCGGUAGUCCCUGUCUCUUAUAC
RNAcentral lists this ribosomal RNA (305 nucleotides) under uncultured bacterium. RNAcentral's name for it is "partial 16S ribosomal RNA". It matches the Rfam family "Bacterial small subunit ribosomal RNA", at positions 508 to 807 of the family's 1533-position model. The record is from RNAcentral.